This 492-nucleotide ribosomal RNA is filed under the name uncultured bacterium. RNAcentral's name for it is "partial 16S ribosomal RNA". It matches the Rfam family "Bacterial small subunit ribosomal RNA", at positions 29 to 507 of the family's 1533-position model. The record is from RNAcentral.
AGUGGACGCUGGCGGUAGGCCUAACACAUGCAAGUCGAACGGCAGCACAGUAAGAGCUUGCUCUUACGGGUGGCGAGUGGCGGACGGGUGAGGAAUACAUCGGAAUCUACUUUUUCGUGGGGGAUAACGUAGGGAAACUUACGCUAAUACCGCAUACGACCUACGGGUGAAAGCAGGGGAUCUUCGGACCUUGCGCGAUUGAAUGAGCCGAUGUCGGAUUAGCUAGUUGGCGGGGUAAAGGCCCACCAAGGCGACGAUCCGUAGCUGGUCUGAGAGGAUGAUCAGCCACACUGGAACUGAGACACGGUCCAGACUCCUACGGGAGGCAGCAGUGGGGAAUAUUGGACAAUGGGCGAAAGCCUGAUCCAGCCAUGCCGCGUGGGUGAAGAAGGCCUUCGGGUUGUAAAGCCCUUUUGUUGGGAAAGAAAAGCAGCAGGUUAAUACCCCGCUGUUCUGACGGUACCCAAAGAAUAAGCACCGGCUAACUUCGUG